RNAcentral lists this ribosomal RNA (542 nucleotides) under Boophis axelmeyeri. RNAcentral's name for it is "partial 16S ribosomal RNA". The stretch from base 1 to 394 matches the Rfam family "Bacterial large subunit ribosomal RNA", at positions 720 to 1300 of the family's 2925-position model. Lineage: Eukaryota; Metazoa; Chordata; Amphibia; Anura; Mantellidae. The record is from RNAcentral.
ACUAAGUGAGCUACUUUAAAGUAGCUGCAAGAGCUAACCCUUCUCUGUCGCAAAAGAGUGGGAUGACUUUUAAGUAGAGGUGAUAAACCUACCGAACUUAGAGAUAGCUGGUUUUUUAAGAAAAGAAUUUAAGUUCAGCCCCAAGCCUCUCUGUUAAAUAAAAAAUCUUCUUAGACUUGGGAGUUAUUUAAAUAAGGCACAGCUUAUUUGAAACAGGACACAACCUAAAAUACUGGGUAAAACAACUAAAUCUCUUAACAAGUGGGCCUAAAAGCAGCCAUCUUUAAAAAAGCGUCAAAGCUUAGUAAUAACAAUUAGCCCAAUAACCUCAACGACUUUUAACCCUUAUGUACUAUUAAAUUAUCCCAUACAAUUAUGGGAGCUAUAAUGCUAGAACAAGUAACAAGAAAAAGAUUUUUCUCCAAAAUGUAAGCUUUAGCCCCAAUAGACAAACUACUGGCAAUUAACGCCCCUGAGCCCACUUUAGUAACUCCAACAAGAAAACCCUAUAAGCCCCCAGCGUCAACCUUACACCAGAACAU